Melitaea cinxia (Glanville fritillary) is the source of this 252-nucleotide long non-coding RNA. RefSeq lists it as uncharacterized. The transcript is spliced from 3 exons. Lineage: Eukaryota; Metazoa; Arthropoda; Insecta; Lepidoptera; Nymphalidae. The record is from RefSeq and is a predicted model, not a curated record.
GAAUGAACGUUUUCAUCUCGAUUAGGUUAAUAAUUUCAAAUUGUGUAUAUUUUCAGGUUAUCUAUGUUUCACUAUUGAGAGCGAGAUAUGGUACGCGCGUAAUAUAAUGAAAGCUGAAACGGUACAGUGAAAAACGUCAGGUGCCAUUCGUUAACGGUUUCGCUAAGAGUAUCAGCAAUUCAAGAUUAAAUAUUUUUAUGAGAUUAUACUAAUUUUCUAUCAUAUUAAAAUGUAAUAUAUUUUGUAAGCUGU